UCGCAUGGUGGGUGCUGGAAAGAUUUAUCGGUGGGGGAUGGACUCGCGGCCUAUCAGUUUGUUGGUGAGGUGAUGGCUCACCAAGACGAUGACGGGUAGCCGGCCUGAGAGGGCGACCGGCCACACUGGGACUGAGACACGGCCCAGACUCCUACGGGAGGCAGCAGUGGGGAAUAUUGCACAAUGGGCGAAAGCCUGAUGCAGCGACGCCGCGUGGGGGAUGACGGCCUUCGGGUUGUAAACCCCUUUCAGUAGGGAAGAAGCGAGAGUGACGGUACCUGCAGAAGAAGCGCCGGCUAACUACGUGCCAGCAGCCGCGGUAAUACGUAGGGCGCAAGCGUUGUCCGGAAUUAUUGGGCGUAAAGAGCUUGUAGGUGGCUUGUCGCGUCUGCCGUGAAAACCCGAGGCUCAACCUCGGGCGUGCGGUGGGUACGGGCAGGCUAGAGUGUGGUAGGGGAGACUGGAACUCCUGGUGUAGCGGUGAAAUGCGCAGAUAUCAGGAAGAACACCGAUGGCGAAGGCAGGUCUCUGGGCCAUUACUGACACUGA
This 549-nucleotide ribosomal RNA is filed under the name Brachybacterium sp. RNAcentral describes it as "bacterial SSU rRNA". It matches the Rfam family "Bacterial small subunit ribosomal RNA", at positions 186 to 749 of the family's 1533-position model. The record is from RNAcentral. Lineage: Bacteria; Bacillati; Actinomycetota; Actinomycetes; Micrococcales; Dermabacteraceae.